AAGACUUUAGUUAAAAAUAUAACAGUAGUCUGUCAGCCUACAAUCACAAUUAAAUGUAAGUCUUA
RNAcentral lists this transfer RNA (65 nucleotides) under Glossiphonia complanata. Its description in RNAcentral is "tRNA-Asp". The record is from RNAcentral. Lineage: Eukaryota; Metazoa; Annelida; Clitellata; Rhynchobdellida; Glossiphoniidae.